RNAcentral lists this ribosomal RNA (254 nucleotides) under uncultured bacterium. Its description in RNAcentral is "partial 16S ribosomal RNA". It matches the Rfam family "Bacterial small subunit ribosomal RNA", at positions 524 to 776 of the family's 1533-position model. The record is from RNAcentral.
UACGGAGGGUGCAAGCGUUAUCCGGAUUUAUUGGGUUUAAAGGGUACGUAGGCGGUGGAGUAAGUCAGUGGUGAAAGCCAACAGCUCAACUGUUGAACUGCCAUUGAUACUGCUUCACUUGAGUGCAGUUGAGGUGGGUGGAAUUCCAUGUGUAACGGUGAAAUGCUUAGAUAUAUGGAGGAACACCGAUAACGAAGGUAACUCACUAAACUGUAACUGACGCUGAAGGUACGAAAGCGUGGGGAGCAAACGGG